UAGUUAUGGAACUGGAUAGAAUCUAUGACAUAGAUGUUGUUGUUUUUUUUUUUGUUUUGUUUUUUUUCAAAUUGGGGGCAAUUUUGCCUUUAUUAAAGAUGACAGCAGAGAGCUGACAAAAAAUAGGGAAAGAGAGAUUGCGGAUUACAAGGAAUAUAUUAUAUAAAUUAUAUAUAACCCUACAAUAUCCCUCAACACCUUAUCGAAUGCUGGUAGAAUCAAAAUAACAACACUUCAUGAAAAAGGACACUUUGACGUAACUGAGAACUCCUCUACAAAGAAGUCACGACUGAGGCAGUUGAAAAAGGAAACGAUCUCUCACACACAGCUCAUGUCCAGCAGCACAGUUUUUUCCAUUUUCUUUUUAUAUACACCGUGAAGGACACAGACGAGAGAAAAACAGAUGGCUGGAGGACUGUCUGCACAAAAUGAAGCCAAACAAAGCAGUCAGGGACACAGCCAGAACCUCACUGUCUGCAACACUGUUUCUUGAUAGAAAUAAA
This is a long non-coding RNA of Micropterus dolomieu (smallmouth bass), 503 nucleotides long. RefSeq lists it as uncharacterized. The transcript is spliced from 3 exons. The record is from RefSeq and is a predicted model, not a curated record. Lineage: Eukaryota; Metazoa; Chordata; Actinopteri; Centrarchiformes; Centrarchidae.